CCUCGAAAUCCUAUCCCCUCUAUGUUCCCUAUCUUCUCCAUUGGUGCGCCGCCAUCCCUUUCGACCUCACCUCCGGUGGCCGCAAUUCAUCGUCUCCGGUAAACCGGAGAUUGUAUUUUGGUCACUUCUAUCCCGCUGAUUUCGGUGCGGUAGAGGAGUGAGUUGCUGUGAUCACAAUGGUGUCCUUGAGCAAAGAUGCUGUUGUCUUACCACGUUUUAGUUGUUUUAUCCGCUGCAUAGCUAGACUUGUGUGAGAGCACAACAGAAACAUCAAAUUUAAAUUUAUAUCUCUUCUAAUGCUAUUUGUGAGCCCAAGGCUUGUAAUGUGGAGCUUGAACCUUUAAUUUUUAGUUUUAGAUUUGAUCAAUCUUUAUCAUGAACAUGUAAACCUUAAUGUCGAACCUAUACUUUCUAUGGAUCUUAUAGUAAUGUGCAAA
Molecule: long non-coding RNA, 437 nt
Organism: Panicum hallii
Lineage: Eukaryota; Viridiplantae; Streptophyta; Magnoliopsida; Poales; Poaceae
Exons: 2
Source: RefSeq, a predicted model, not a curated record